Long non-coding RNA from Mus musculus (house mouse), 1085 nucleotides. RefSeq annotates it as predicted gene, 32836. The record is from RefSeq and is a predicted model, not a curated record. The transcript has 5 exons. NCBI's taxonomy places the organism in Eukaryota, Metazoa, Chordata, Mammalia, Rodentia, Muridae.
GUAUCUUUCCUUGUCUUGUUCUAAUUGUCUGAGCUACAAGGUGCUCGCUGUACUCCCCCAUGUUUCUGGUUCCUGUAGUGUUUAACAGCUCCCUCCCCAGUAGAAGCUCAGCUCUAAGAACUCAUCACAAGCAUGUCAGCCGAGGGUCACACCAACUCUUCCCUGAUAGACUAAAUAAAGAAGCCUGAGGAGACAUCUUUGAGGCAAGGCCUUGAGUGGAGCGAUUGGGAAGGCAACCCAGCCAUAAAACCUCCAACAACCUACACUUUGUCCUGCCUUCAUGAUGUCAUGAGAGAGACCAGAGUCCCAUCCAGCAAUGGGAACAGAACUCAGAAAGCUCUGUGGAGGAGAGAGAAGAGGGAUUGGAGGAGCCAGAGGGAUCAAGAACAUGACUCACAGAAUCAACUGACCAGGACUCAACAUCCAGGAUGCCAGAAUUUCAUGCAGGAAGCAUCCCAGCUGUGGAGAAACAUUGAGACCCCAUUCUCUUUCACUGAAAAUGCUGAGAAAUUGAGACAAGAAAUGGGACUCAGGCAGGCAGAGUAGAAAGAGCUCAGAGAAUCUCCGUAAGCAAGUGACCCAACAACAACAUUUCUGAGAAAUUCAGCAGGAACCCAUCUUCCAUGGCCUCUACAGAUCCUGCCAAAUUCCCCGUCAAGAGUGGAGAUCCUGAAAUAACUGAAAAGAUCUGAAAUUUGGAAAGACCUGUGGCAGAGUUACACUAUCAAAGUCCAGAUGUGCGGUUCCAAAGCUGUUCACCACCAGUCUGGGCUGCUGUCUCAGUCUUGAUCUAACCAGAGAUGCUCCUUGAGGCGAAGCUAAAACAAGGAAUCGGAAACCAGAGUCCUCUCCCAGCGUUCCUGGCCUCCAGCAAGGUCAAUUUUGGAACUGCUGCUUUGGGGGUCCCUAUCCCAAGUUUUUUUUUUUUUCUAUCCUGUCCUCAUUAUCACCACCCUCCCAGGUCAUUAAAGAAAAAAAAAAAAAAAAAGACACAUUUUCCACUUUGCCCUAUGUUAUAAAUACCUCUUUGAUUGCCAGAAUUAGCCAACAGGCCCAGUGAAUUAAAUCAGUUUUUUUGUUUAACC